UAUUUAAUGUGAGACCUGCCCAGUGAUUUAUAUAAUUUAAGUAUGAAAUAUUUAUAAUUAAAUUAAACGGACGCGGUAACCAUGACUGUGAUAAUGUAGCAUAAUCAAUUGCCUUUUAAUUGGGGGAGAGUAUGAAUGGUUAAACGAAUAUUUCAUUGUCUUAGAAAAAAUUUUUUAAAAUUAGAAUAAUAGUUAAGAUACUAUUUAAAAUUGUAAGACGAAAAGACCCUAUAGAGCUUAACUAUAAAAUAAAUGUUAUAAUUUUAAAUUUUUAAAUAAUUAAUUUAUUUUGGUAGUUUAGUUGGGGCGACUAUCUUCUAUAUUUAACGAAGCAUAAGCAAAAUUAAUAAUAUUAAUUUAUUGUAUAAUUAAUUUAUUUAACAAUUACUAUUGUAGGCUAUAAUGACCCAUUUAAUUUAUAAAAAAUAAUUAAAUGAUUAAUUGAUAAAAGCUACCUUAGGGAUAACAGGAUAAUUUUGUUUUAGAGUACUAAUCGAAUUCAAAGUUUGUCACCUCUAUGUUGAAUUAGGAUAUCCCGGUAAAUGCAGAAAUUACUAAUGGUAGGUCUGUUCGACCUUUAAAA
This 583-nucleotide ribosomal RNA is filed under the name Protohydra leuckarti. RNAcentral describes it as "partial 16S ribosomal RNA". It matches the Rfam family "Bacterial large subunit ribosomal RNA", at positions 1844 to 2593 of the family's 2925-position model. Lineage: Eukaryota; Metazoa; Cnidaria; Hydrozoa; Anthoathecata; Protohydridae. The record is from RNAcentral.